UUAUAUUUAAAUGUUUGAGGCAUAAUAAUAUUUGAAAUUAUUAGGGAAAGUUUAAGUCUUUCAAAUAUAAA
Molecule: transfer RNA, 71 nt
Filed under: Dolichoderus sibiricus
Lineage: Eukaryota; Metazoa; Arthropoda; Insecta; Hymenoptera; Formicidae
Description: tRNA-Gln
Source: RNAcentral